This is a long non-coding RNA of Aegilops tauschii subsp. strangulata, 2472 nucleotides long. RefSeq lists it as uncharacterized. The record is from RefSeq and is a predicted model, not a curated record. NCBI's taxonomy places the organism in Eukaryota, Viridiplantae, Streptophyta, Magnoliopsida, Poales, Poaceae.
UCGUUUUUCUAUUUAUAGGUGGCAUAGUGGGUGACUUCUAUCAACUUCGGGGGUAAUUUUAAUGACAGAUGGAUAGAAGCAAUAGUCCAUUUAUUAAUACUAGCAAAAGGGACCGUGCGUUGCAACGGAAGAUAAAAUUGGCGUGAUUGUAGUGAGGAUUGUGUGGGAGACCACAAUUCCCGUUUUCAAAUCAAUAGUGCAAGGCCCUCUUUUAUGCAGGAGGGGCACGUCCUCAUUUAAUUCUGCAUACUCAUUGAACAUAUAAAGGAUGAAGGAGUUGCUACACACAACCAAUGGCUCGAGCGCACCGCACCACGUGAAGAAAAAAAACCACCGCAACGCGACCGCGCGUGAGAAAAAACAGCGAGGGUCAGGCGAGCGCACCGCACCACGCGAGGGAAAAGACCACCGCUCCGCCCGUCCGCUUUCUCCUUCAUCCCCGUUCCCUCCUCUCCAACCGCCCGUCCGCCUCGAGCCCCGCCCCGCGUCCCUCCUCCUCCUCCCUGCUCGCUCACAUCGCGGGCGGCGCCACCUCCUCGCUAGGCCCAUCUCUGCCCACCCUCUCUUCCUCGCGAUUCGGAGCAGAAGGACGGAUGCGGCCACCCAGGCGUCGGCGCCGGCGCCGGCGCGGGAUUAUAGAGGAGAGGGGACAUCGAUGGCCAGGCAAGGAAGGACGAGGGGGAAUCUGGUGGAGGUGAUGAGGGAGCUGCUAAGGUGGGGCAGGAGAGGACGGCUCGCCGACAAGCUCGAGUUGGAGGCGGUGAGAUCUUUUCCUUCAUGCCUUCCCACCUGCUGAGCUCGUUGGUCCUCCUCCCUCCCCUGUGCGGCCGUCUUCGUCCUUCAUCGCUCGAUUUACGAUCAACCCCUGGUACGCCUCCAUCCUUCGUCUCUUGCUCCGUGGCCCGGAUGUUGAGAGAGGGCGAGAGGCGGUGUCGCGGUGAUAUGCAGGGGUGAGGGAGAUGGAGGCGGUGACCUGCAGCUCCUAUUGAAGGGGCGGAGAAGAGGGGGUACUCGUGUGAGCGGAGAAGAGGGGGUACUCGUGUGGAAGAAAUCGGGAGGAAGCGUUGGCAGUGACAGGUCGUGGAUCAUCUGUGCUUGUGCAGAUUUUAUUUCUGUACGCCUACAAGGUGUUCGACGAAAAUCCCAGAAGGCUGGCAGGGGAAGAAUGAUCUAUGUAAGCCAUGUGAUUUCCUGAUUCAGGUGGCUCUACUAUAUUCCUCAUUUAGUAGUUUAUCAAGUGAUCAGAUGUUUUAAUCUCGAGAAUGUGUUUUGAGAACUGCUUGUUUACCCAUUCCUUUGUUUUUAGCUGCAGUCAAGUAAUUCUAAUAGGAAGACUGUUGGUUCAACUGAAGAUGCGGAGUCAGUGUGUGGACAGCUUGUUGGUAGAGUCCAUAAAAAAAUUCCAACCAGUCAUAACCGCCCUGCCUCGCUUCCGACGGUGCUGCUGGUUGCUCAGGUUCCUAGGGGACGUCUCAUGGUUGUUAUCUAUGGGAGGAGAGGAUGACAUCCACAGCAGUAAGCGGCACGCUGCCCCAGCCAGCCGUCGUACAUGGCCGCGUCGAUUUUCCGUUACCUUGCCUCCUGCUGUUCGAUUUUCCUCUUUUGCUUACUUCUCCUUCCAGUGUUGGUGCGGGAUCGUUCGGUUCAUUGUUCAUUGUUCCGCUGGCUGCUCAGGUUUGCCAACAACAUCAGUUUGUUGUUUUCUCCCAGAGGUGGAUUAUUUCUGCGGGGUUGAGCUCCUCCAUGACCCGAUUUCUUACCUUGCUGGUUGUGUCAUAUGGCAGUCGGCAUUUGCUUGAUGAAUGUUUCAGUUCUACUACUGUUUCACCACCCCACCAUGAGCUCGGCCUUCAGCCGUGUUUAUUCUCUUUCCUUUCUCUAAUUCAUUUAUAUAUUUCAUGGGUAGGGUAUGGAUAGCCUGAUGAGAGCAGCCCAGUAGCCGCACCUCCGCAACUUUGCCAAUCUCUCGAGGUUUACGCAUAGCCCUAUAAGAAGAUCAAUCAUCGAUGACUUGCCGAUUUACAGGCACGUAAAAAAAUACAUACUUUCUAUGUGUUCUUGGGAUCAACUAAUGUGAGAUCGUUUUCUCUUAUUUCAUUGUUCUUGCUGCUGCAUAUAUCUCUUCAUGCAUCUGAAUCACUGAAAAUUACAGGAGAAAACAGGUUGGGGGGAUAUGAGGCUAUUGGUCUUUAUUCCUUCAUGUAGGUUGAGGUAUUUCGGAGUUGGUUCACUCGGAAAAAAGGUGUGUUGAUGGUUUGAGUUUUUGCAUCAGCAGCAAGUCAGAUUUUUUCUACCGGGGAGCAUCAACCUUCUUCCCCCCAUGAUCGUUACUUUGUUGGCAUGAGCUUUCUAGAAUGUAUUGUUUGAUUGUCUCCCAUGUUAGCAGAUAGGUACUAGCUAGAACACCCUUUUUAAUGAUGUAUUUCAUGGAUACAUUGUGAUGGAGCAUUAGUUGGCUUGCCUUUUGUGUCA